GGCGAACGCUGGCGGCGUGCUUAACACAUGCGAGUCGAACGGAAAGGCCCUGCUUUUGUGGGGUGCUCGAGUGGCGAACGGGUGAGUAACACGUGAGUAACCUGCCCUUGACUUUGGGAUAACUUCAGGAAACUGGGGCUAAUACCGGAUAGGAGCUCCUGCUGCAUGGUGGGGGUUGGAAAGUUUCGGCGGUUGGGGAUGGACUCGCGGCUUAUCAGCUUGUUGGUGGGGUAGUGGCUUACCAAGGCUUUGACGGGUAGCCGGCCUGAGAGGGUGACCGGCCACAUUGGGACUGAGAUACGGCCCAGACUCCUACGGGAGGCAGCAGUGGGGAAUAUUGCACAAUGGGCGGAAGCCUGAUGCAGCAACGCCGCGUGCGGGAUGACGGCCUUCGGGUUGUAAACCGCUUUCGCCUGUGACGAAGCGUGAGUGACGGUAAUGGGUAAAGAAGCACCGGCUAACUGCGUG
RNAcentral lists this ribosomal RNA (468 nucleotides) under uncultured bacterium. RNAcentral describes it as "partial 16S ribosomal RNA". It matches the Rfam family "Bacterial small subunit ribosomal RNA", at positions 28 to 507 of the family's 1533-position model. The record is from RNAcentral.